GAUGAACGCUGGCGGCGUGCCUAAUACAUGCAAGUCGAGCGAACAGACGAGGAGCUUGCUCCUCUGACGUUAGCGGCGGACGGGUGAGUAACACGUGGAUAACCUACCUAUAAGACUGGGAUAACUUCGGGAAACCGGAGCUAAUACCGGAUAAUAUAUUGAACCGCAUGGUUCAAUAGUGAAAGACGGUUUUGCGGUCACUUAUAGAUGGAUCCGCGCCGCGUUAGCUAGUUGGUAAGGUAACGGCUUACCAAGGCAACGAUGCGUAGCCGACCUGAGAGGGUGAUCGGCCACACUGGAACUGAGACACGGUCCAGACUCCUAAGGGAGGCAGCAGUAGGGAAUCUUCCGAAAUGGGCGAAAGCUUGGCGGAGCAACGCCGCGUGAGUGAUGAAGGGCUUCGGAUCGUAAAACUCUGUUAUUAGGGAAGAACAAAUGUGUAAUUAACUAUGCACGGCUUGACGGUACCUAAUCAGAAAGCCACGGCUAACUACGUG
RNAcentral lists this ribosomal RNA (497 nucleotides) under uncultured bacterium. RNAcentral's name for it is "partial 16S ribosomal RNA". It matches the Rfam family "Bacterial small subunit ribosomal RNA", at positions 28 to 507 of the family's 1533-position model. The record is from RNAcentral.